GAAGCUGACUAGACAGUCGCCGUCUUAUUAUAAUCCAACUUAUAAGAAUAAGAGGGAGGAAAGUCCGGGCUCCAUAGGGUAGGGUGCCAGGUAACACCUGGGUAGCGUAAGCUAACGACUAGUGCAACAGAAAGCAUACCGCCGACAAUCGUUAUAACAUUAGGAUUAUAGGCAAGGGUGAAAAGGUGUGGUAAGAGCACACCGCGCGACUGGCAACAGAUUGCGGCAUGGUAAACUCCACUCGGAGCAAAGCCAAAUAGGAGUUCACUAAUACGACCCGUACAGAACUCGGGUAGGCUGCUUGAGCUAGUAAGCGAUUGCUAGUCUAGAUAAAUGACUGUCCUCGACAGAACCCGGCUUAUAAGUCAGCUUCACAA
Molecule: RNase P RNA, 377 nt
Filed under: Candidatus Erwinia haradaeae
Lineage: Bacteria; Pseudomonadati; Pseudomonadota; Gammaproteobacteria; Enterobacterales; Erwiniaceae
Description: RNase P, M1 RNA component
Rfam family: Bacterial RNase P class A
About the family: Ribonuclease P (RNase P) is a ubiquitous endoribonuclease, found in archaea, bacteria and eukarya as well as chloroplasts and mitochondria. Its best characterised activity is the generation of mature 5'-ends of tRNAs by cleaving the 5'-leader elements of precursor-tRNAs.
Source: RNAcentral